UCUCCUUUGCCACAGAAGGUGACAGCUUGGGGGAGCAGCAGCGGAGUGGGCCAAGCAGAGCCAAAAGGCGCCAAGGAGAGGCCCUGAGACUGCGGAAGAGGGGCUGGGUUUCCUGGCUCCAUCAGCCCAACCGGUGGCUUAGCUUGAGCAAGAGGCAGAGUCUGGGGGAGCCUGACCAAGGGGGCUGCACAGCCAGGCCCCACCCACUUUGACCCCCAACCCACCUCCAAGUCAAGUCACUUCCACAAAUGCUGCUUCGCUGCUCUGGACUCCACCUGGAGCUGCAUGUGCGGUCAGGGUCCAAAGCCCUGGUCCUCUGCAGCCAGCUCUCUGAGGGCAGGAACCUGUGUCUGCUGUGCUGGACCUGUAUCCUGAGUGCCUAGCACAGGACUUGUCACAUAGCA
Long non-coding RNA from Myotis brandtii (Brandt's bat), 404 nucleotides. RefSeq lists it as uncharacterized. NCBI's taxonomy places the organism in Eukaryota, Metazoa, Chordata, Mammalia, Chiroptera, Vespertilionidae. The transcript is spliced from 3 exons. The record is from RefSeq and is a predicted model, not a curated record.